This 510-nucleotide long non-coding RNA is filed under the name Manihot esculenta (cassava). Its description in RNAcentral is "long non-coding RNA (MESC_LNC003783)". Lineage: Eukaryota; Viridiplantae; Streptophyta; Magnoliopsida; Malpighiales; Euphorbiaceae. The record is from RNAcentral.
CUGCACGUAACCACCAAAAUAACACAUAAGAGCUUGAAAACAAAUCGCCUUAGUGGUUGUCUGAAUGACAAGACUCUUAAGACUCAGCCAUCAUGAGUCUUGCUCCUGAGUUCAAGUCCUACACAGCCUGUAUGGUUGCCAGCCUGCACUGAUGAGGGCAGGACAGGACCCAGAGAACUAGCCAUCACCCAUAUCAAAGUAAAAAAGUUAAGGCAAAAAAUUACAAGCCCAGCUACUGAUUAAACUAAGGCAAAUAAUUUUACGAAUUUAUUUAUUUAAAGAAAAAUACAUAAGAAAAUAAUACAAGGAGCUACUAUAUAUCUUGCAUUCAUAACAAUUAUAAGAGAAAUUUACAAUUUACUCCCUAUAGUCUCUCCCAGAUAUCAGCUAUCAACAACAUCCAUCAGCAAUAUCCAGCAGUUAAACCAUCUCAAAUGAAAAUAUGGGAAUAUUGAUUAUAAAAAAGAAAUAGCAAGAGAACUGCACUUCAAAUUGUUAACUGAUCCUCAC